RNAcentral lists this ribosomal RNA (360 nucleotides) under uncultured bacterium. RNAcentral's name for it is "partial 16S ribosomal RNA". It matches the Rfam family "Bacterial small subunit ribosomal RNA", at positions 338 to 696 of the family's 1533-position model. The record is from RNAcentral.
CCUACGGUGGGCAGCAGUGAGGAAUAUUGGUCAAUGGCCGGAAGGCUGAACCAGCCAAGCCGCGUGAAGGACGAAGGUGCCAAGCAUUGUAAACUUCUUUUGUCAAGGGACAAAAUCAGGCUCGAGAGCCUGACCGCGGGUACUUGAAGAAAAAGCAUCGGCUAACUCCGUGCCAGUAGCCGCGGUAAUACGGAGGAUGCGAGCGUUAUCCGGAUUUAUGGGGGUUAAAGGGGUCGUAGUCGGACUGUUAAGUCAGCGGGAAAAGCCCGGGGCUCAACCCCGGCGAGCCGUUGAAACUGGCUGUCGUGAGAUGACGAGAGGUAUGCGGAAUGCGCAGUGUAGCGGUGAAAUGCUUAGAUA